UUGCUACUGGACCUAGCGGCGGACGGGUGAGUAAUGCUUAGGAAUCUGCCUAUUAGUGGGGGACAACAUCUCGAAAGGGAUGCUAAUACCGCAUACGUCCUACGGGAGAAAGCAGGGGAUCUUCGGACCUUGCGCUAAUAGAUGAGCCUAAGUCGGAUUAGCUAGUUGGUGGGGUAAAGGCCUACCAAGGCGACGAUCUGUAGCGGGUCUGAGAGGAUGAUCCGCCACACUGGGACUGAGACACGGCCCAGACUCCUACGGGAGGCAGCAGUGGGGAAUAUUGGACAAUGGGGGGAACCCUGAUCCAGCCAUGCCGCGUGUGUGAAGAAGGCCUUAUGGUUGUAAAGCACUUUAAGCGAGGAGGAGGCUACUUUAGUUAAUACCUAGAGAUAGUGGACGUUACUCGCAGAAUAAGCACCGGCUAACUCUGUGCCAGCAGCCGCGGUAAUACAGAGGGUGCGAGCGUUAAUCGGAUUUACUGGGCGUAAAGCGUGCGUAGGCGGCUUAUUAAGUCGGAUGUGAAAUCCCCGAGCUUAACUUGGGAAUUGCAUUCGAUACUGGUGAGCUAGAGUAUGGGAGAGGAUGGUAGAAUUCCAGGUGUAGCGGGUGAAAUGCGUAGAGAUCUGGGAGGGAAUACC
This 638-nucleotide ribosomal RNA is filed under the name Acinetobacter baumannii. RNAcentral's name for it is "bacterial SSU rRNA". It matches the Rfam family "Bacterial small subunit ribosomal RNA", at positions 80 to 710 of the family's 1533-position model. Lineage: Bacteria; Pseudomonadati; Pseudomonadota; Gammaproteobacteria; Moraxellales; Moraxellaceae. The record is from RNAcentral.